CCUACGGGAGGCAGCAGUGAGGAAUAUUGGUCAAUGGACGAGAGUCUGAACCAGCCAAGUAGCGUGAAGGAUGACUGCCCUAUGGGUUGUAAACUUCUUUUAUAUGGGAAUAAAAUGUUCCACGUGUGGGAUUUUGUAUGUACCAUAUGAAUAAGGAUCGGCUAACUCCGUGCCAGCAGCCGCGGUAAUACGGAGGAUCCGAGCGUUAUCCGGAUUUAUUGGGUUUAAAGGGUGCGUAGGUGGAUUGUUAAGUCAGUUGUGAAAGUUUGCGGCUCAACCGUAAAAUUGCAGUUGAAACUGGCAGUCUUGAGUACAGUAGAGGUGGGCGGAAUGCGUGGUGUAGCGGUGAAAUGCUUAGAGAUCACGAAGAACUCCGAUUGCGAAGGCAGUUCACUGGACUGCAACUGACACUGAGGCUCGAAAGUGUGGGUAUCAAACAGGAUUAGAUACCCGUGUAGUC
This 460-nucleotide ribosomal RNA is filed under the name uncultured bacterium. RNAcentral's name for it is "partial 16S ribosomal RNA". It matches the Rfam family "Bacterial small subunit ribosomal RNA", at positions 338 to 795 of the family's 1533-position model. The record is from RNAcentral.